Tupaia belangeri (northern tree shrew) is the source of this 107-nucleotide small nuclear RNA. Lineage: Eukaryota; Metazoa; Chordata; Mammalia; Scandentia; Tupaiidae. The record is from Ensembl.
GUGCUCGCUUUGGCAGCACAUAUACUAAAACUGGAAUGAUAUAGAGAAGAUGAGCUUGGCCCCUGUGCAAGGAUGACACGCAAAUUUUUGAAGCGUUCCAUAUUUUU